UAGAUGUUGCUACUAGUUUUACCUGGAACUUGUUUCCUUCCCAUGUCUACCUAGCUCUUGGAUGUCUGUGGUUAGUUUCAGUUGCUACUAUGGAAGCUAAGACUUGAUGUCACUAGGCCUGGUUUCUUGUGAACAUGUUUUGAGUUUAAUCUGUGUUGAAUGCUUGAUAUGUGUACCUUAUCUCGUUGCUUAAUGUCAUACUGAUGAUUUGGCCCUUACUUUACUAGCAAAUUAUGGCCAUACUGAUGAUUUGGCCCUUACUUUACUAGCAACUUUAUUCGUACUUCAAAAUGCAUGUACUCUGCAGCACAAGUAAGCGCACAUUUUGCUAUGCAAAAGACAUCAGACGCUGCACUUAGGCCUAUCUUAUUCCAUCACACUAUUUCUAUUAUUCUGGCUGACGAUUAAUGCUGCAAUUAUUAAUACGGAUACGGGCUUAGUUAAUUUGCUGGUAAACGGCUUGCGAAGAAACUCUCGUGCUAUCUUGCCGUUUGCUCCUUCCGGGUAGAAGCCACCAGGGAUCAUGCUCGUUGCCGGUGGGGUAGAGGAUCCUGAGCAACUCGGCCGGUGUCCGGGCGUAGGAGAGGGUGUCGCUGUCGGCGGAGAGCACGUAGGUGCAGAUCUUGCCCUCUGCGCUGAGCUCGGGCGGCACGGUGAGCCCCUCGUCCUUGAGGAUCUUUGGCCUAGGGAAAAGUAACCCACCCACCGUGUUCUGGAUGGCCCUGCAACCAAAGUGAAGCUAGAUUGAGAGCAGGUGAAAACGGCAGUGUGGCUUCGUAAUUUCCCCCCGGAAAUUGCUGCCAUGAACUUUGAUUGUAUCUCUAUUUUGUUAGCUAAUAUAAAUACUCUUUCCCCGCAAAAAAAAAA
Molecule: long non-coding RNA, 867 nt
Filed under: Triticum aestivum (bread wheat)
Lineage: Eukaryota; Viridiplantae; Streptophyta; Magnoliopsida; Poales; Poaceae
Description: long non-coding RNA (TAES_LNC003180)
Source: RNAcentral